AGCACAUCAAAAAGCUCAUCCACCACAAUCAAGUCAGCUUCAUCUCGGGGAUGCAAAGCUCGUUCAACAUACACAAGUCUAUAAACGUAAUUCACCACAUAAACAGAAC
This is a long non-coding RNA of Sapajus apella (tufted capuchin), 109 nucleotides long. RefSeq lists it as uncharacterized. The transcript is spliced from 2 exons. Lineage: Eukaryota; Metazoa; Chordata; Mammalia; Primates; Cebidae. The record is from RefSeq and is a predicted model, not a curated record.